GUUCUUACCGAAAGCAAGAUGAAAAGGGAAACCGGUGUAAGUCCGGUACGGUCCCGCCACUGUAAGAGGGAGUCGGUUAUCAUAAUGUCACUGCAGAAAUUGUGGGAAGACGAUAACAGAUGCAGAACUCAAGUCAGGAGACCUGCAUAC
This 150-nucleotide non-coding RNA is filed under the name uncultured Marvinbryantia sp. The record is from RNAcentral. Lineage: Bacteria; Bacillati; Bacillota; Clostridia; Lachnospirales; Lachnospiraceae.